RNAcentral lists this microRNA (21 nucleotides) under Octopus vulgaris (common octopus). Its description in RNAcentral is "Ovu-Mir-12573_5p (mature (guide))". Lineage: Eukaryota; Metazoa; Mollusca; Cephalopoda; Octopoda; Octopodidae. The record is from RNAcentral.
UGAACAUUCUCUAAGAACACC